AGAGUUUGAUCCUGGCUCAGGACGAACGCUGGCGGCGUGCCUAACACAUGCAAGUCGAACGGAGAUAUUAAUGAAGCUUGCGAUUUAAUAUCUUAGUGGCGGACGGGUGAGUAACGCGUGGGUAAUCUGCCCAUAAGUGGGGGACAACAGUUGGAAACGACUGCUAAUACCGCAUAUCCUGAUUUAUUAGGAAAGAUGGCCUCUGAAUAUGCUGUCGCUUAUGGAUGAGCCCGCGUCUGAUUAGCUAGUUGGUGGGGCAAUGGCCUACCAAGGCGACGAUCAGUAGCCGGCCUGAGAGGGUGAAUGGCCACACUGGGACUGAGACACGGCCCAGACUCCUACGGGAGGCAGCAGUGGGGAAUAUUGCGCAAUGGGGGAAACCCUGACGCAGCGACGCCGCGUGAGCGAUGAAGGCCUUAGGGUUGUAAAGCUCUGUUUUAGGGGACGAAUGUCUAGAUCAGUAAUAUGGGUUUAGAAUGACGGUACCCUAAGAGGAAGCCCCGGCUAACAACGUGCCAGCAGCCGCGGUAAGACGUAGGGGGCGAGCGUUGUCCGGAAUUACUGGGCGUAAAGAGCACGUAGGCGGAGACUUAAGUCAGGUGUGAAAGACCGGGGCUCAACCCCGGGGUGGCACUUGAAACUGGGUCCCUUGAGGGCAGGAGAGGGCAGUAGAAUUCCUGGUGUAGCGGUGAAAUGCGUAGAAAUCAGGAGGAAUACCGGUGGCGAAGGCGACUGCCUGGACUGACCCUGACGCUGAGGUGCGAAAGCGUGGGUAGCAAACAGGAUUAGAUACCCUGGUAGUCCACGCCGUAAACGAUGGAUACUAGG
Molecule: ribosomal RNA, 828 nt
Filed under: uncultured bacterium
Lineage: Bacteria
Description: bacterial SSU rRNA
Rfam family: Bacterial small subunit ribosomal RNA
Source: RNAcentral